GCCCGUAUAGCGAAAUGGUAUCGCGCCAGUUUCGUAAACUGGAGAUUGAGGGUUCAAUUCCCUCUACGGGCU
This 72-nucleotide transfer RNA is filed under the name Candidatus Iainarchaeum sp. Its description in RNAcentral is "tRNA-Thr". It matches the Rfam family "tRNA". Rfam says of the family: Transfer RNA (tRNA) molecules are approximately 80 nucleotides in length. Their secondary structure includes four short double-helical elements and three loops (D, anti-codon, and T loops). The record is from RNAcentral. Lineage: Archaea; Nanobdellati; Candidatus Iainarchaeota; Candidatus Iainarchaeia; Candidatus Iainarchaeales; Candidatus Iainarchaeaceae.